UACGUAGGGUGCGAGCGUUGUCCGGAAUUAUUGGGCGUAAAGAGCUUGUAGGCGGUUUGUCGCGUCUGCUGUGAAAGUCCGGGGCUCAACUCCGGAUCUGCGGUGGGUACGGGCAGACUAGAGUGAUGUAGGGGGAGACUGGAAUUCCUGGUGUAGCGGUGAAAUGCGCAGAUAUCAGGAGGAACACCGGUGGCGAAGGCGGGUCUCUGGGCAGUAACUGACGCUGAGGAGCGAAAAGCGUGGGGGAGCGAAACAGG
This 257-nucleotide ribosomal RNA is filed under the name uncultured bacterium. RNAcentral describes it as "partial 16S ribosomal RNA". It matches the Rfam family "Bacterial small subunit ribosomal RNA", at positions 524 to 776 of the family's 1533-position model. The record is from RNAcentral.